CUUUUGGGAAAAAUGGACAGACAUCAUAAUAAUAUUGUGCUCUGAUCCAUGAACAUGAUAUAUCACUCCAUUUUUUAGUUCUUCACUUUUUAUUUUUGUAGUUUUUAGUGUGCAGAUCUAUAACAUAUGUCAUUAAAUUUAUCCCUAAGUAUUUCAUGUUUUGUGAUGCUACUCUAAAUGGCACAAUUUUCUUAUUCCCAUUGAAUAUUGGUAGUUUUUACAACUACAAUCUAUUUUGUAUACUGACCUUACUAAACUCACUUCUUAGUAAAAGUGGCUCUUUUGUACACUGCAUAGGAUUUUGUAUUUAGAGAUCAUAUCAAUUUAGUUUUUUUGUAACUUUUUCCUGUCAUUUUAUACUGGCUAGGACCUUCAGUACAAAGUUGGUUAGAAGCAGUGAGAACAGACAUCUUUAUCCUGUUCUGAAUUUAUGGCGCAAAGCAUUUAGUCUUUCACCACCAAGUAUGAUGCUGUCGGCAGGUAUUUUUUGUAAACAUCUGUUAUCAUAUUAAGAAAGUUUCUUUUUCUUCCUAGUUUGCUGAGAGAUUAUGUCAUGAAUAGGUCUGAAAAUUUUCAAAUGCUUUUUAUUUAUUUAUUUAUUUAUUAUUAUUAUACUUUAAGUUCUAGGGUACAUGUGGAUAACGUGCAGGUUUGUUACAUAUGUAUACUUGUGCCAUAUUGGUGUGCUGCACCCAUCAACUCGUCAGCACCCAUCAACUCGUCAUUUACAUCAGGUAUAACUCCCAAUGCAAUCCCUCCCCCCUCCCCCCUCCCCAUGAUAGGCCCUGGUGUGUGAUGUUCCCCUUCCCGAGUCCAAGUGAUCUCAUUGUUCAGUUCCCACCUAUGAGUGAGAACAUGCGGUGUUUGGUUUUCUGUUCUUGUGAUAGUUUGCUAAGAAUGAUGGUUUCCAGCUAAUUUUUGUAUUUUUAGUAGAGAUGGGGUUUCACCAGGUUGGCCAGGCUGGUCUCGAACUCCUGAUCUUAGGUGAUCUGCCCACCUCGUCCUCCCAAAGUGCUGGGAUUACAGGCAUAAGCCACCAUACACUGCCAGGAGGGAGCUCCUAAGCUAGAAACCAGGUGCAAAGGAAAGAUGGGCAACUUUGGAGUCACACAAACUGCUGUGGUAGAUGGCUUAGUUUUUCUUAAAUGAUCCGUGAAGAAUGAGUGUAUGUCCCUGCUCCACUGACUUUUUGCUUUGCUACCUUACUACCUUUGGCCAAUGGAACAUGAGUGGACUUGAUAUACACCGUGUCUGGGCAGAAGCUUUAAAUGUGUGUUCUGUGUUUGCCUCUAGUUCUUCCCCCUUCUCUGAGAAUGGACAUAUUCUACAUAGGGGAUGCUUCUUCCACCUGGGUCCUAGAAUAAGAAGUUACAUGGUGUAGAGACACAUACCACAUGAGGACAAAGUAAAGGCAUGUUGCUUUAAGCUUUGAGACUUGGGAGUUGUUUAUUAUACUUCAAAGCUGACUAAUAUACCUGGAUUUGUCACUCCUGGGCUGUGUAAUAGUCAGAAAGUUGCUUCAUUUAUUUAAUGCCAGCAUUCACUGAUGCUUACUAUGUGAUAAGUUCUGUUUAGACAGUGGUGAUCAAAGAGGAAUAAGACAGAUUCCUUCCCUGGGGGAGCUCUCAGCAUAAUGCAGUUGGAGAGACAGUGAGUUAAGGGCUGUGUUAGGAGCCAGUGCAAGGUCAGAAAGAAGGACUCGAUUCAGUCAGCGAGAUCAGAGAAGAUUUCCUAGAAGUCGUUAGCAUUGGUCCUUCCAGGAAAUACCCAUGCUAAAUCUUGAGGGACAAGCCAGGGGAAAAAAACAAGGGGGAACAUUUUUCUUGCAUAGGAAAUAGCUAGAGUGGAAGCUCAGAUGACAUUCAAACUGAGGGCUGCUUAGGACAGGGCUGGGACAAGAUAGCAUGUGAGAUGCUGCUUCCUCCCUCCUCAAUUCCAUCCACACUCCGAGCCUAGCCAAGAAGCUCAGACUCACAUCCUAAGUGGGUAGUAGUCACACACAAAUGACUGUAAAUUGUUUUGCCUUGGGAAAUGGCCUAGCAGGGAAUUGGCAGCUUUCGAGACGAAACAAUUUUGGAUGGGCCCUGCUAGCAUCAGUCCCAGGCACCAGGGCCAGGACCAAGAGAGGCUCAAGCCCAGGCUGCUGCAUCCUCCCCACAUCUGACAAAGAAUGACUGAUUCUGAGUGAAUAAUUUACUUGUGUUUCCACAUCCAUCAGACCAAACGAAGAGUUUCCUCAACUGAACAGAAUGGAUUGCCCGAGUUAAUCCCAGAGUCUGUCUGGGGUAAGUGAAGCAUGGUAGAAAAGUAAUAUGGAAGGCUGGCUGCUGGGAAAUAUAUUGAGUCCAAACAGGAAAGAGAUGAGAAAGGGAUAAAAUAACAGCCCCGAAGAACAAGGUUCCCAGGUGCUAAAUCCGGUAUUUAACUCCCAAACAGGCUUGAGAUAUUUAAUUACAGUCCUGACCAUACCCACUUACUCUUUCUUUUUAUUUGUUUAUUUAUUUAUUUAAUUUUGAGACAGUUUCUUGCUCUGUUGCCCAGGCUGGAAUGCAGUGGCGCGAUCUCAGCUCACUGCAACCUCCACCUCCUGGGUUCAAGCAAUUUUCAUGCCUCAGCCUUCCAAACAGCUGUGAUUACAGGUGUGCACCACCAUGGCUGGAUAAUUUUUUGUGUUUUUCGUAGAAAUGUGGUUUUGCUAUGUUGGCAGGCUGGUCUUGAACUCCUGGCCUCAAGUGAUCCACCCUCCUUGGCCUCCCAAAAUGCUGGAAUUACAGGUGUGAGCCACUGCGCCUGGCCUUUAUUUUUAUUUUUAAAGUUAUAACUAAGAGCUUCUGGGUCUUGUUAUACUCCUUCUGCUCUGGGCUGGGAGGGAAGCCUAUAGGGCCUCCAGCAGACUUCAAGAUCCCCUCUUAAAUUCCACCAUAUGAGACAACAUGAACUCUGAAAACAUUAUGCUAGUGAAAUAAACCAAUCACAGAAGGACAAAUGCCACAUGCUUCCAUUUAUUUGAGGUAUUUAAAAUAG
Long non-coding RNA from Papio anubis (olive baboon), 3024 nucleotides. Lineage: Eukaryota; Metazoa; Chordata; Mammalia; Primates; Cercopithecidae. The record is from Ensembl.